This 195-nucleotide microRNA precursor is filed under the name Oryza rufipogon (brownbeard rice). RNAcentral describes it as "MIR812 microRNA precursor family". The stretch from base 41 to 175 matches the Rfam family "MIR812 microRNA precursor family", at positions 36 to 170 of the family's 205-position model. The record is from Rfam by way of RNAcentral. RNAcentral also lists the same sequence under 2 other names. Lineage: Eukaryota; Viridiplantae; Streptophyta; Magnoliopsida; Poales; Poaceae.
CCUCCGUCCCACAAAGAAUCUAUUUUUCAAUUUUUGAUACGACUAUUCGUCUUAUUUAAAAACUUUUUAUGAUUAAUAUUUUUAUUAUUGUUAGAUGAUAAAGCAUGAAUAGUAAUUUAUGCAUGACUAUUUUGUAAAACAAUUUUUGUAAUUUUUUUAAAUAAGACGAACGGUCAAACGUUUGAGACAGAAACC